Non-coding RNA from Ixodes scapularis (black-legged tick), 82 nucleotides. Lineage: Eukaryota; Metazoa; Arthropoda; Arachnida; Ixodida; Ixodidae. The record is from Rfam.
GCAGUCGUGGCCUAGUGGUUAAGGCGAUGAACUAGAAAUCCAUUGGGGUCUCCCCGCACAGGUUCGAAUCCUGUCGACUGCG